CCUACGGGAGGCAGCAGUGGGGAAUUUUGGACAAUGGGCGCAAGCCUGAUCCAGCCAUGCCGCGUGAGUGAAGAAGGCCUUCGGGUUGUAAAGCUCUUUCGGCCGGGAAGAAAUCGCAUUGGUUAAUACCUGGUGUGGAUGACGGUACCGGAAUAAGAAGCACCGGCUAACUACGUGCCAGCAGCCGCGGUAAUACGUAGGGUGCGAGCGUUAAUCGGAAUUACUGGGCGUAAAGCGUGCGCAGGCGGUUUUGUAAGACAGGCGUGAAAUCCCCGGGCUCAACCUGGGAACUGCGCUUGUGACUGCAAGGCUAGAGUACGGCAGAGGGGGGUGGAAUUCCACGUGUAGCAGUGAAAUGCGUAGAGAUGUGGAGGAACACCAAUGGCGAAGGCAGCCCCCUGGGUCGAUACUGACGCUCAUGCACGAAAGCGUGGGUAGCAAACAGGAUUAGAUACCCUGGUAGUCCACGCCCUAAACGAUGUCAACUAGGUGUUGGGAGGGUAAAACCUUUUAGUACCGGAGCUAACGCGUGAAGUUGACCGCCUGGGGAGUACGGCCGCAAGGUUAAAACUCAAAGGAAUUGACGGGGACCCGCACAAGCGGUGGAUGAUGUGGAUUAAUUCGAUGCAACGCGAAAAACCUUACCUACCCUUGACAUGUCAGGAAGUCUUGAGAGAUUGAGAUGUGCCCGAAAGGGAACCUGAACACAGGUGCUGCAUGGCUGUCGUCAGCUCGUGUCGUGAGAUGUUGGGUUAAGUCCCGCAACGAGCGCAACCCUUGUCGUUAAUUGCCAUCAUUUAGUUGGGCACUUUAGCGAGACUGCCGGUGACAAACCGGAGGAAGGUGGGGAUGACGUCAAGUCCUCAUGGCCCUUAUGGGUAGGGCUUCACACGUCAUACAAUGGUCGGUACAAAGGGUCGCCAACCCGCGAGGGGGAGCCAAUCCCAGAAAGCCGAUCGUAGCCCGGAUUGCAGGCUGCAACUCGCCUGCAUGAAGUCGGAAUCGCUAGUAAUCGUGGAUCAGCAUGUCACGGUGAAUACGUUCCCGGGCCUUGUA
Molecule: ribosomal RNA, 1056 nt
Filed under: uncultured Dechloromonas sp.
Lineage: Bacteria; Pseudomonadati; Pseudomonadota; Betaproteobacteria; Rhodocyclales; Azonexaceae
Description: bacterial SSU rRNA
Rfam family: Bacterial small subunit ribosomal RNA
Source: RNAcentral